GAUGAACGCUGGCGGCGUGCCUAAUACAUGCAAGUCGAGCGAACGGACGAGAAGCUUGCUUUUCUGAUGUUAGCGGCGGACGGGUGAGUAACACGUGGAUAACCUACCUAUAAGACUGGGAUAACUUCGGGAAACCGGAGCUAAUACCGGAUAAUAUUUUGAACCGCAUGGUUCAAAAGUGAAAGACGGUCUUGCUGUCACUUAUAGAUGGAUCCGCGCUGCAUUAGCUAGUUGGUAAGGUAACGGCUUACCAAGGCAACGAUGCAUAGCCGACCUGAGAGGGUGAUCGGCCACACUGGAACUGAGACACGGUCCAGACUCCUACGGGAGGCAGCAGUAGGGAAUCUUCCGCAAUGGGCGAAAGCCUGACGGAGCAACGCCGCGUGAGUGAUGAAGGUCUUCGGAUCGUAAAACUCUGUUAUUAGGGAAGAACAUAUGUGUAAGUAACUGUGCACAUCUUGACGGUACCUAAUCAGAAAGCCACGGCUAACUACGUGCCAGCAGCCGCGGUAAUACGUAGGUGGCAAGCGUUAUCCGGAAUUAUUGGGCGUAAAGCGCGCGUAGGCGGUUUUUUAAGUCUGAUGUGAAAGCCCACGGCUCAACCGUGGAGGGUCAUUGGAAACUGGAAAACUUGAGUGCAGAAGAGGAAAGUGGAAUUCCAUGUGUAGCGGUGAAAUGCGCAGAGAUGUGGAGGAACACCAGUGGCGAAGGCGACUUUCUGGUCUGUAACUGACGCUGAUGUGCGAAAGCGUGGGGAUCAAACAGGAUUAGAUACCCUGGUAGUCCACGCCGUAAACGAUGAGUGCUAAGUGUUAGGGGGUUUCCGCCCCUUAGUGCUGCAGCUAACGCAUUAAGCACUCCGCCUGGGGAGUACGACCGCAAGGUUGAAACUCAAAGGAAUUGACGGGGGCCCGCACAAGCGGUGGAGCAUGUGGUUUAAUUCGAAGCAACGCGAAGAACCUUACCAAAUCUUGACAUCCUUUGACAACUCUAGAGAUAGAGCCUUCCCCUUCGGGGGACAAAGUGACAGGUGGUGCAUGGUUGUCGUCAGCUCGUGUCGUGAGAUGUUGGGUUAAGUCCCGCAACGAGCGCAACCCUUAAGCUUAGUCGCCAUCAUUAAGUUGGGCACUCUAAGUUGACUGCCGGUGACAAACCGGAGGAAGGUGGGGAUGACGUCAAAUCAUCAUGCCCCUUAUGAUUUGGGCUACACACGUGCUACAAUGGACAAUACAAAGGGCAGCGAAACCGCGAGGUCAAGCAAAUCCCAUAAAGUUGUUCUCAGUUCGGAUUGUAGUCUGCAACUCGACUACAUGAAGCUGGAAUCGCUAGUAAUCGUAGAUCAGCAUGCUACGGUGAAUACGUUCCCGGGUCU
This 1372-nucleotide ribosomal RNA is filed under the name uncultured bacterium. RNAcentral describes it as "bacterial SSU rRNA". It matches the Rfam family "Bacterial small subunit ribosomal RNA", at positions 28 to 1381 of the family's 1533-position model. The record is from RNAcentral.